AAAGGCUGGAACAACAAAUGAAUACAGGAAUGAUGCUAAUAUAAAAAUACAAACCCUAAAUUUUCUUUAUAUAUUUUGAGGGUAAGCUAGUUUCAGAUUUUUCUCUAAGGUUUUGUAGGAAGAGAAAAAUUGGUCACACUAACGCCAUUUUAAAAUAUGCCCCCAUCUGUAAGAGGCAGAGCCACCUGAGGUGAAAAGGUAAACGGCUUGUGUAAGAUUUGGCUGAAAGUCCAGAAAUUAACUCAAGUCCUGGAACAUGUCCUGGGACACUCCCCCGGAACGAUUGUUCAAGUCCUGGAGUACGUUUCGGAACGCUGCUCCCGGAACACCGCUCCUGGAGCGAUUGUUUCAAUGUUGCUUGCUCGGAAUGGCCCUCCUGAGCAAACAACAGACGGUGCUCAAAGUAACAACUGGACUUAAUAAAAGGAGCUUACACGAAGGAGGAGCUGAAGGCUGCUGUGGUCGUGUGCUGGGGGCUGCCCCAGCUCCAGCUGCAGGACCCCGGCCGUCUGCCUUCCGACUCCGGUGAUGAUUCUUCCUGCGGUCUGAUCAAGAUUCUAUGCAGUUAACUUUGUAUCCAAGGAUCUAUAGCCAAGAAAUUUGGAGCUCAGUUUCAAACAUGAACCAGAGUUAAGCGGGCCCUCCAUUUCCUGGCCACACAUUGUCAAUGUGGAAGAUCUCUGGCCAUGAGUUAAAGGUCACCCACGAUACCAAAUUGCAAAUUGUGUUGAGAAUGGAGAGCAUUUGCAAAGCUGGAAUGAAUACACAAAACAUGUUUAUUUACAUCACUCAGAAUAUUGCUAUGAGCAUUGCAAGCAUUCUGAUAGUAGAUGAGAAAACUAAUGGACUGAUGGACUGAUGGAUGGAUGGAUGGAUGGAUGGAUGGACGGAUGGAUGAUGAAUCUUCUAUCUGAGCAGUAAAGUUGAUAAAAGUGAGCAGGAAUCAGAGGAAUGAAGAAUGAAGUUGUCCUCAGGAAAUAAAAGGGGAACCAAGGCUUGCCAGCAAGAAAAUAAGAGGAGACCUGGCAGUGAAUGAAUGAUACAUUUGAUUAAGAAUAAAAAUUUCAGUGUUACUGGGGGAUUUUCUUCACUCAUUUAAGUGAAAUAAAUAACUAGGAGUUAGAAUGUGACCAGACAAUAGAUGGUCUUAAAUAUACCAAUAAGAUUAGGCCUUGUGUUCAAAAUAUAUUUAGCAUAGACAGUAUUUUGAGGCAUCAUAAUUAUUUAAUAGUAAUAACAAAGUUUAUGGAGCAUUUACUGUAUGUCAGGCCCUCUUCUAACUACUUUAGAUGUUAAUCCAGUUUAACCUCCCCAGCAUCCAAGUAGCAACAUACCACAGGCCAGCCAGUGAUGUCUGUCUGCCCUUUUACGUAGGCAAUAAGAAGUUGCAUUUUUCUGUCAAAAAUUUAAAAACAAUUGUAAAACUAUUGUUAUCCCCAUGUAACCAAUAUUGGUAACUCUUUAAAAUGUCAAUGAUAAAAUAGUAGUUCCUGAAACAAAUAAUUUGUUGGCUUAAAUCCUAUAAUUGCUGAUACUGUGAGUUUUGAGUGGCUUUUAUUCUGUCAUUGUGUAUGGUCAGUUGAAGUUUUUAUUAGUUUAAAAUUUCAAACAAUGAAAUAGUGAGAAAUGCAUGAUGGGCUAUUGUGCCUGGUACAGAAAAUAGUUUACUGCAUUUUAAUAAUAUCCUUAGAAUUAAAAUGCCUUAUUCUAUUUAAUUGUUACUUAAUUCUUCAUUUUUGUGACCGACUAAUACAUAGGUAUAUAUACUCUCCCUUUUAUCAAAAAAUCAAUGUAAUUUAAAAAUAUUAAUUUAUUACUCUAUUAUAAUUAUGUUUAAUUUGCUGGCAUAAUUAUAUAUAUACAAAAUUCAAUAAAAUAAAAUGAUCACUGUG
This 1892-nucleotide long non-coding RNA is filed under the name Homo sapiens (human). Its description in RNAcentral is "HSALNT0069856". Lineage: Eukaryota; Metazoa; Chordata; Mammalia; Primates; Hominidae. The record is from RNAcentral.